GAUGAAGAACGUUAGCGAAAUGCGAUAACUAAUGUGAAUUGCAGAAUUCCGUGAAUCAUCGAGUCUUUGAACGCACAUUGCGCCCCCUGGUAUUCCGGGGGGCAUGCCUGUCCGAGCGUCAUUGCUGCCCAUCAAGCACGGCUUGUGUGUUGGGUCCUCGUCCCCCCCGGGGGACGUGCCCGAAAGGCAGCGGCGGCACCGCGUCCGGUCCUCGAGCGUAUGGGGCUUUGUCACCCGCUCUGCAGGCCCGGCCGGCGCUGGCCGACGCGAAAGCAACCAUUUUUUCUCCAGGUUGACCUCGGAUCAGGUAGGGAUACCCGCUGAACUUAAGCAUAUCAAUAAGCGGAGGA
RNAcentral lists this unclassified non-coding RNA (350 nucleotides) under soil metagenome. Its description in RNAcentral is "partial contains 5.8S ribosomal RNA, internal transcribed spacer 2, and large subunit ribosomal RNA". The stretch from base 1 to 121 matches the Rfam family "5.8S ribosomal RNA", at positions 35 to 154 of the family's 154-position model. The record is from RNAcentral.